AGCACUGGGAGGACUGGGAGGGGGCACUGGGAGCGCUGGGAGGGGUACUGGGGGCACUGGGAGGGGGCACUGGGACACUGGGAGGAGGAACUGGGAGCACUGGGAUAAGUUAUGGGGGUACUGGGAUCACCGGGACAGGGCACUGGGAGCACUGGGACGGGGAACUGGGAGUGCUGGGAGGGGGAACUGGGGGCACUGGGAGCACUGGGAGGGGAACUGGGAGCACUGGGACAAGUUAUGGGGGAACUGGGAGCACUGGGACAAGGACGGGACCCCGCUGGCGGCCCCGUGGCAGGCCGAGCGCCCCGCGGGGCCGUCCCAGUGGUCGCACUGGUCGGUUACUGGUGGCACUGGGCCGGAGCCCUGGGCGCACUGGGAGCACUGGGAGCACUGGGAGCUGUCCCGCAGCCGGGUGACGCUGGCGGUGGCCCCGGGGGACGACGGAGCCACCGUGCGGUGUCACAGCCACAGCCCCGCCGGGGGGGGGGGCACGGCCAGCGUCAC
This 504-nucleotide long non-coding RNA is filed under the name Anser cygnoides (Swan goose). RNAcentral describes it as "lncRNA (ENSACDG00005006855.1)". Lineage: Eukaryota; Metazoa; Chordata; Aves; Anseriformes; Anatidae. The record is from RNAcentral.